CAACCGCGGAAGAAGGCGGUGGCCGUCUACCUCGUCCAGCGCCUCUCCGGCCCACGCCCCCCAUGAGCACCACGAGUGGAAGCCAGGGGACGCCCUCGAGGCGGCGCCGGCCCCUCCGCUCGAGGCCACAGCGGCGGAAGCCCGGGCACUCGUUCGAGGCGUCGCGCCUCCGCUCGAGGCCACAGCGGCGGACGCGCGCAGGACUCUGAAGCUAUGAUGGAAGAAGAGGCAGCAGUGCAUGCCCAGGAGCAAAUAGAGAAGAUGAAGAGGGUGGCAGCACGUGCUCUGGACAAGGCUUUGGCGCGUGCUCGAGAGGCAGCAGCACAUUCUCUGGAUAAUGCAGCAGCAUAUGCCGAAGGUGCAAUUUUCAGGAUCCUUGAAUGAGUCACUCCUUAUGCCCCACUCAACAUGCAACACAAAUCUGACACCGACUCCGUUAAGUAAACCUGCUCCAGAAAUAGGUUCAGAUGUGGUGGCUGUGACAAAUCCAGCUACGCCCAAGGAAGAGGAUGAAACUUGGAACAAAUGGCAACUCAUGUACAUAUUCGUGCUUACUACUACAGUGGGUCUACUGUUCCUGAUGUAUCAGCUAUUACCCCCGGUAUAUGGUCGCUUCAUCCUACUAGUGGUGGCUGCAGUAUGGGGUGUGGGCAUCGUUGGCUUGCCUUGUGGUCUGUAUGGUACUUCCAGGUGUGAGAAGGAGUGCAGCCGACAUGUCGGUUGGCUCAUCUCCACGCUGUUCGCAUUAUUCAUGAUCUAUUGUUUCUAUCUUGUGGCUCUGCGUGUGAACGGCUCUUCUGCACCUGCCCCAUCUUCGUCACGCUUGGAGCUUGGAGGGUGACCAGACAUCUACUGAUAGCAGCGAUGAGUUCUGGUGGACCGUGGCCUUUGGCGUGGUCGGCUCCUAGUGCUUGUAGGAUACCUAUGGGCUUGGUUUAGGGAAUGCUGGACAGGCGGCGACAGAGACAGGAGCCCCUAGCACACGGACCAACAGCAUGACCGUUCAUAUGUAUGAGCAGAAGUAUGCAGGGAGGUGGUGAUAGCAGGACCAGCAAACUGUUUGGAUUCGCACGAGUAGGAUCUAGGAUGCGUGUAUACCGGAAGGAACGGGUGCUCGUAGCAUAAGAAGGGAAGAGGUGAAUUAGAUAAUUUAAAAUCUUAACAUAUGGUUUCAC
Molecule: long non-coding RNA, 1175 nt
Organism: Setaria italica (foxtail millet)
Lineage: Eukaryota; Viridiplantae; Streptophyta; Magnoliopsida; Poales; Poaceae
Exons: 4
Source: RefSeq, a predicted model, not a curated record